GGCUGGUGUGAAGGUCGUGAGUUAUCUCAGUUGAUCACAGUCAGUUACAGAUCAAACUCCUUGUUGUACUCUUUCACCCCUUCUCACUACUGUAGUUGGCUAGUCUUAA
This is an unclassified non-coding RNA of Gorilla gorilla gorilla (western lowland gorilla), 109 nucleotides long. It matches the Rfam family "Y RNA". From Rfam's summary of the family: Y RNAs are components of the Ro ribonucleoprotein particle (Ro RNP), in association with Ro60 and La proteins. The Y RNAs and Ro60 and La proteins are well conserved, but the function of the Ro RNP is not known. The record is from Ensembl. NCBI's taxonomy places the organism in Eukaryota, Metazoa, Chordata, Mammalia, Primates, Hominidae.